Molecule: ribosomal RNA, 352 nt
Filed under: uncultured bacterium
Lineage: Bacteria
Description: bacterial SSU rRNA
Rfam family: Bacterial small subunit ribosomal RNA
Source: RNAcentral
AGAGUUUGAUCCUGGCUCAGGAUGAACGCUAGCUACAGGCUUAACACAUGCAAGUCGAGGGGAAACGACAUCGAAAGCUUGCUUUUGAUGGGCGUCGACCGGCGCACGGGUGAGUAACGCGUAUCCAACCUGCCCACCACUUGGGGAUAACCUUGCGAAAGUAAGACUAAUACCCAAUGACGUCUCUAGAAGACAUCUGAAAGAGAUUAAAGAUUUAUCGGUGAUGGAUGGGGAUGCGUCUGAUUAGCUUGUUGGCGGGGUAACGCCACAAGGCGACGAUCAGUAGGGGUUCUGAGAGGAAGGUCCCCCANAUUGGAACUGAGACACGGUCCAAACGUCCGUACGGGAGGCA